Molecule: transfer RNA, 44 nt
Filed under: Verrucomicrobiales bacterium
Lineage: Bacteria; Pseudomonadati; Verrucomicrobiota; Verrucomicrobiia; Verrucomicrobiales
Description: tRNA-Arg
Rfam family: tRNA
About the family: Transfer RNA (tRNA) molecules are approximately 80 nucleotides in length.
Source: RNAcentral
GCGCCCGUAGCUCAGUUGGAUAGAGCAACUGCCUUCUAAGCAGU